UCUUUACAGAAUUCACGGACUGUCCCGGGAGCUCCGGCAAGGUCCUGGGUUCUGUCUGAAGACUGCUGGGAGUUUUCCCAGCGCUGUGACUCGGAGGGCCACUAUAACCCACAGGGACCUUCCUGCAGUGCUUUGGGCUGUGUGCUUGGCAGGGCCUGGGGGACAUGCCAGCCCACCAAGGCCAGAUGGCGACCGAGGAAGGAGAGGAUUCCGGGCUGCUGUCCAGGCGCCCUGACAUCGUCUAGACAACAGCCUGACUCAUCUGGGAGGGAGAGACGGUGCGAAGGGGAAACAAGGCAGCGCAAUGGCCCCCCUACUCCCCCAGAUGCCUGUCGGAAGGACGCGUUCGAUGCCUCUCUCCCCUCUGAGGCACAGCCUAAGCUCGGGAUCCGGCACUCCACGUGGCAGCCCUCUUUGGCAGCACUUCCGUCGGUGAACAACUUUCCCAGAUCUCCCCCCAGACCUAGACUAGGGUGCACUUUGCAUCCCUUGUUACGGCCAGCAGGGACCAACAUGGCACGGGGCGCAGGCCCAGAGUUCCCAGUGAAACACGGGUUCCCAACUUUUCAGGGCUUGAAUCAGGACCAGCCAGCCUGGGGGCACCCUGAGCUUGCCAGCACAUCUCUGCUCCUCUCCGUCUCCCUUUUCCAGGGGAUUCAGGGGAUUUGCUGAUGCCGAACCCAGAAGCUCUCUGGGGUUCUGUUUUAGAGGGUUCACAGGUCCCAUGGCAAGGGGGGCCAGCAGGAGGCAGGAGCUGGGAGGAGGCCCCGGCUCCGAGCCACCUGGGACCUGCACAGGCAGAGAGAUGUCAGCCCCAGGGAUGAAGAGGGGCCCAGCUCAGAGUUCCAGAUUCCAGCCAGCCCACUCUGGGAGGGUCCUAGCCCAGCCUGAUCCUCUAAUCCCAGGCUGGACCAGGACCUCAGGCCCCUCCCUUAAGCCAUUGGAAUGAGCCCCUCUCCCUAGACUGCUCCCAACCUCUAAACCGCACCCCAGAGUUUGGAUUCCCCCAGGGCCCCCACCCACCAGGCUGGGCAUCUGAGGGUCCCUCCUGCCCCCUGCAUCCCCACCCUCCUUCCCUCUCUCCCUCUCCUAGCCACCUUCUCCCCUCCCCAAGACUGCCAAGAUAAAGCUGGAGAACAGAUGGAGGGAGCGUGGCUGCCCUGGAUUUCCCCUCAUCUGCGGGAUCACUGGGGCUCAUGGAAGGCAGAUGUGCUCUCCCACAGACCUAACUGGGAGGCUAGUUAGGACGGGGAGCUCACCACCAGCUUAUCGGAACAAUACAAUGCCCAGAUGAUGGAAGCAGGAACAGGAGGUGGAGGAGGAAACUCCAGGUCUGAGGAAGUUUGGGGUCAGGAGCCCCCUCCAGUGCUCCCAUUGGUUGGAGGGUGCCCACAACAUGGGGCCAACCAGGGGCCUCUGAGUGGGGCCUCUCAAUAAAAUCGGUUUUAUUUCUAAUACUCGUCUCCA
Molecule: long non-coding RNA, 1467 nt
Filed under: Monodelphis domestica (gray short-tailed opossum)
Lineage: Eukaryota; Metazoa; Chordata; Mammalia; Didelphimorphia; Didelphidae
Description: lncRNA (ENSMODG00000038307.1)
Source: RNAcentral